GUGGGGAAUCUUCCGCAAUGGGCGCAAGCCUGACGGAGCAACGCCGCGUGAGUGAAGAAGGCCUUCGGGUCGUAAAGCUCUGUCUUUAGGGAAGAAUAGCAGGUAUGUGAAUAAUGUGCCUGUGUGACGGUACCUGAGGAGGAAGCUCCGGCUAACUACGUGCCAGCAGCCGCGGUAAUACGUAGGGAGCGAGCGUUGUCCGGAAUUACUGGGCGUAAAGGGCGUGUAGGCGGGAAUUUAAGUAAGGUGUGAAAACUCCGGGCUCAACCCGGAGACUGCACUUUAAACUGGAUUUCUUGAGGGCAGGAGAGGAAAGUGGAAUUCCUAGUGUAGCGGUGAAAUGCGUAGAUAUUAGGAGGAACACCAGUGGCGAAGGCGACUUUCUGGACUGUACCUGACGCUGAGGCGCGAAAGCGUGGGGAGCGAACAGGA
RNAcentral lists this ribosomal RNA (432 nucleotides) under uncultured bacterium. RNAcentral's name for it is "bacterial SSU rRNA". It matches the Rfam family "Bacterial small subunit ribosomal RNA", at positions 354 to 777 of the family's 1533-position model. The record is from RNAcentral.